CAAUAGCGUAUAUUAAAGUUGUUGCAGUUAAAAAGCUCGUAGUUGGAUUUCUGAUCGAGACAUCAGGUCGGGUCCGAGAGGAUCAUGUACUUUGAUUUUGUUUUGAUCAUCCUUGGGGAGAGCAUUUCUGGCAUUCAGUUGUCGGGAUUGGGAUCCUCAUCGUUUACUGUGAAAAAAUUAGAGUGUUCAAAGCAGGCCUCGGCCUCUGAAUACAUUAGCAUGGAAUAAUAAGAUAGGACUUUGGUGGUCUAUUUUGUUGGUUUGCACGCCAAAGUAAUGAUUAAUAGGGAUAGCUGGGGGUAUUCGUAUUCAAUUGUCAGAGGUGAAAUUCUUGGAUUUAUGGAAGACGAACUACUGCGAAAGCAUUUACCAAGGAUGUUUUCAUUAA
Molecule: ribosomal RNA, 388 nt
Filed under: uncultured eukaryote
Lineage: Eukaryota
Description: partial 18S ribosomal RNA
Rfam family: Eukaryotic small subunit ribosomal RNA
Source: RNAcentral